GACGAACGCUGGCGGCGUGCUUAACACAUGCAAGUCGAGCGGUAAGGCCCUUUCGGGGGUACGACGAGCGGCGAACGGGUGAGCAACACGUGGGUGACCUGCCCUCAGCUCUGGGAGUAAGCCUGGGAAACUGGGUCUAAUACUGGAUAUGACUCCACGGUGCAUGUCGUGGGGUGGAAAGCCUUGUGCGGCUGAGGGUGGGCCCGCGGCCUAUCAGCUUGUUGGUGGGGUGAGGCCCUACCAAGGCGACGACGGGUAGCCGGCCUGAGAGGGCGACCGGCCACACU
This 287-nucleotide ribosomal RNA is filed under the name uncultured bacterium. RNAcentral describes it as "partial 16S ribosomal RNA". It matches the Rfam family "Bacterial small subunit ribosomal RNA", at positions 28 to 314 of the family's 1533-position model. The record is from RNAcentral.